This 650-nucleotide ribosomal RNA is filed under the name uncultured archaeon. RNAcentral describes it as "bacterial SSU rRNA". It matches the Rfam family "Archaeal small subunit ribosomal RNA", at positions 165 to 813 of the family's 1478-position model. The record is from RNAcentral.
GGGCACUGGAAGGUCCCUAAACCGAAAGGGGCUCUGCCCGCCCGAGGAUGGGCCGGCGGCCGAUUAGGUAGUUGGUGGGGUAACGGCCCACCAAGCCCAUAAUCGGUACGGGCAGUGAGAGCUGGAGCCCGGAGAUGGACACUGAGACACGGGUCCAGGCCCUACGGGGCGCAGCAGGCGCGAAACCUCCGCAAUGCUCGAAAGAGCGACGGGGGGACCCCAAGUGCCGUGGUACAACCACGGCUUUUCCGGAGUGUAAGAAGCUCCGGGAAUAAGGGCUGGGCAAGGCCGGUGACAGCCGCCGCGGUAAUACCGGCGGCCCGAGUGGUGGCCACUAUUAUUGGGCCUAAAGCGUCCGUAGCCGGGCUUGUAAGUCCCUGGCGAAAUCCCACGGCUCAACCGUGGGGCUUGCUGGGGAUACUGUAAGCCUUGGGACCGGGAGAGGCCGGGGGUACUCCUGGGGUAGGGGUGAAAUCCUAUAAUCCCAGGAGGACCGCCAGUGGCGAAGGCGCCCGGCUGGAACGGGUCCGACGGUGAGGGACGAAGGCCAGGGGAGCAAACCGGAUUAGAUACCCGGGUAGUCCUGGCUGUAAAGGAUGCGGGCUAGGUGUUGCUUGGACCUCGAGUCCAAGCAGUGCCGCAGGGAAGCC